CUAAUCUAAAACAAAAAGGAAACAAAAAGACUAGAAACAAAAGCAAAAUACGAAAGCACAGCAAUGAAAUUGACGAUCUCCUUUCUUCAUCUCUUGCUUUUCGGUGUUGAUGCUUUCGAUACUCAAUCGGUACUUUGUUGUGUUGGGUAGAUGAUGCCUUCCAUGCUUUGAAUUUAUUCUGAAAUCGAUUCAAGAUGUUCCCAAAGACAUGUCUUUUCCUCCAUUUCUUUCCUUUCCAUCUCUGAUUUGAUGUUUUUUGCUCUUCGGAUCUAAGACGGUGCUGGUGAAGGUGCCGCUGCAAUUUGCUCUUGUUCAACCCAAAUCGAAGAUGUAUACACCUUAAUCGUUGAUUUCCCAGAGGUUGGCAUUCUUCAGAGGGAAUAAAUUUAUACCUUUCUCUGCCAGUUAGGGGAAUUACAUUUGCUUCGCUUUAUGGGACCCCUGGAUAUUCUAUAACAUCGAAUAGGUUCGUUAGUUCUACUUAGAGUCUCUAGAGUCAUACCUUGCUUCAAUUUGGCUAAGUAAGUUUUCUUCCCUCUGGCUGAUUAAAUUUUAUAUCUUUUAUUUAAAUUUAAUGUUUUACCUUUUAUAUUGAAAAAAAAUAUUAGAUGUAAUUAACUUAUAAAAGAGUAGACUCCAAACAUAUAUGCAUGAAAAUAGUGGCUUUCCGGGAACAAAGGUUAGUACUUUUCAAUUCUCCGGCCUAGAGUUGCAAUGAUUUGCUCUGCCUUUUUAAAAAGAAUCUCUUGAUUCUACCUUUUAUCCUUACAUUCCUAAUAUAACUGAAAAUGAAAACCUCAUUGCACUAUCUCAAAAAAUCAUUACAUUUAUUGUUAGCUACUCGGAGGUUUUCUGAAAGAUUUCACUUUCAAGCUUCGAAUUUUUUUCUAGCUUGCUCCAAUUGUUAUAUUAGUAGCUUCUGAGUUACAUCCAUAUAAUGAGACUAAGAACUGAUUUCUUUAUUUUUCCUAAUUCCAAUGUCUGCGUUGGUGUUUUCCACAGCUCUCACAUUGGCCCUUAUUUAAAUAACUAGCUCUUGGCGCAUCGAGCAUAUCUCAAACCUCCAAAAGUUUGGUUGUAAUUGUGAUGCAUUUUUUUUUACGAUAAAGACAUGAGCAUUUCAAAGGUAUUACUGGAAAGAUUGAUAUGGCAAGACAACAUCUAAUUCACCUGCAGCAGCAACUGAAGCUCCAGUAUAGUGAUACACUAGCUAAUGAAGAAAAAGAAGCUUUGGUCCAACUAGAAAAGUGGUCACUUACUAAAGAAAGCAUUCUAAGACAAAAGUCUAGAUUUUAGUUGGAUUAAGCUUGUGAUGCCAAUACCAAGUAUUUUUCAGCAGUGAUGAAAGAGAAAAGGCAGCAAAAACAAAUAGUAGAACUUACCUCUUUGACUGGACAGAAACUGACAGAUGCAAAGGCAAUCCAAGAAGAGAUCAUACAAUUCUAUAAAUCACUAAUGGGGACGUCAACAUAAUCAUUACUUGCGGUAAGCAAAACUACCAUGAGUAAAGGUCCAGUUUUUAGUCACCAAUAGCAGGUUGAGUUGUGCAAAGAGAUUACAGAUCAGGAGAUCUUAAAGGGCCUGCAGUAUAUAAGAGAUGAUAAAGCACUUGGCAUAGAUGGUUUCAAUGCAUUGUUUUAUAAAAUAGCUUGUCCACUUAUUAAGGAAAUAUAUUUGUGCAGCUGUCCAUGAAUUCUUCAACACCACCAGCUUAUACAAAGCAGUGAACUGUACUCUCAUCACCUUAUUGCCUAAGGUUCCAAACCCACAGACAAUUAAGGAAUACAGGUCCAUUGUCUGAUGUACAGUCCUCUACAAGUUGAUAGCAAGGGUCCUAACAACAAGAAUGAAGAAUAUCAUGCCUCAUAUUAUCAGUGAUACCCAAGCUAGAUUUAUUCCAGGGAGAAGGAUUGCAAACAACAUCAUCAUGGCACAUGAAUUGGUCAAACGUACUCUAGAAAAACAUAUAUGCUAGAAUUUGCUUAAAGUAGAUUUGCAAAAAACGUAUGAUUCAGUUGAAUAGGUUUUUAUAGAGCAAGUCUUAACAGAAUUGAAGUUUCCAGCAAAUUUCAUUGGUUGGAUAAUGUGCUGUAUGAAAACAGUGAGCUACUCAAUUACCAUUAAUGGAGUUGUUAUAGAUCCAUUUGAGGCAGCUAAAGGCUCAAGGCAGGGGGAUCUAAUGUCCCCUUACCUUUUUGCAAUAACAAUAGAGUACUUGAGUAGAUUUCUCAAUGAAUUGGCAGAUAACAAGCAAUACAAAUAUGAUCCCAAAUGUGUCAAAGUUAAAUUAACCUAUCUUUUUUUUGCAGAUGAUCUUUUGUUAUUUCCUAGAGGUGACAGAGUCUCUAUCCAGUUGCUCUAUGACAAAUUUGACUUGUUCUCCAAAGCUUCAGGUCUCAAAGCAAACCUAGCUAAAAGCAACAUUUAUUUUAGAGGGGUGGACAGUGCUGAACAAGAAUGCAUAAUUCAGCAACUUGGUAUUACACUUGGGCAACUACCUUUCAAAUACUUGGCUAUUCCACUAUUUACAAAGAAGCUAAGCAUUCUCCAAUGGUAACCUUUGAUAGAAAAAAUUGUAGCAAAAAUAGCUUCUUGGACAGCCCAAAAAACUGUCCUAUGCAGGUAGAGUGCAGCUAGUCAAAACAGUGGUGUUUGGGAUACAAUCCUACUGGGCACAAAUCUUUUUAAUACAUUCCAAAGUAAUUAAGACCAUAGAAGGGUAUAGUAGAAGUUAUAUAUGGUCGGGUACUAAUGAGAUUACCAAAAAGGCACUCGUCUCAUAGAGUAAAAUGUGUUAGCCAAAGGCUGCAGGAGGACUUCAUAUGUUUGAUCUAAAAAUCUGGAAUAGGACAGCUAUAACACCUUGUGCAUUCGGGCUAGAGUUCGACUUGUAAGACGGGGGUAUAAUGGAACCAAUAUGAGGAGUAUAAGAAGUGUUUUGACAACUAAUCAAGUUAUAAGAAGAGUCAUUGGACAAAGCAAAGUCGAAAGCCACUCUAUAGAGCAUAUUUUCAAGUGAGUUUGCAAAAGGUUUGACUUCAAGUGACUAGUACCCCUUUAUUAAUUGGGAAUUUGGUAAAACUUUCUUAAUUAAAGUUGUAGUCCUUUUAAAUACCUGUCCAACGAUAUAUUAUGGAGGUUAAUCGGGCAUCUACACAAAAAGUUAUGACCGUUUUAUUGAAGGGUCACAGAGUAGUCUGCUCACUGAAAAUUGCCAUGACUAAAUACAGACCAAAUAUACGGUCCGUAUUUUGAGAUACGGUCUACGGUUCAUAUAUAUGAACCGUAUUUAGUGAGAAAAUCACCUCGACAUUAUGUUUUUGUGCCAUGAGAAUAUACGGUCCAUAAAUACGGACCGCAUCUCAAAAUACGGAUCGUAUUUAUGGUCCAUAUUUCUCCCGACGUAGUUAAGUAUAAAUACACCAGUUCAGUCUUCUAACUCUAUUUUUCAUUCCUUGAAGCCCAUCAAUCCAAGACAUUAAGGAGAGCCCUUCCAAGUCAAUUCUAACAUGUAUUCAUGUAAUCUAAUUAGGAAAUCAUUAUUUUUAACCUAGGGUUUUCAAGAAAACCCACCUCAAGGCUCAAGGUUUAAGCUUUUGGAAUUCUAUUACGAGUUUUGGAGCAAUCACGUUCUUCCCCACAAUCAAGGUUUCUAACCUAGGGUUUCUAUCUACGUGUGGAAUUCUAGGAGAUCAAAGGUUUAAGCUUUAGGAAUUCUAGGAAAUCAUUAUUUCUAACCUAGGGUUUUUAUCUAUGUGUGGGAAUAUCACUGUUCUUCCCCAUAUCACAUUCUUCCAUGAUUAUACAAAGUUCACCCAAAACUAGGAUUGUAGACAUGUUUAUGAUAACCCUAAGCUCAUGUACCAUGAUAUACCAUGUUUGUAUUGAUAAUUCGUUAUUGUAUUCUUGAUAUUUCGUUUUGGUUAUUGAGAAUAUGUCUGUAAUCCAUGAAAACCCAUACUUUGCAUUUCAUGGGUUCUUACAUGCAAGAUAUGAAUUAUUAUGCUUAUUUUCAUGAAAAUCCUACAUGUCUCCAUGUUUUCACACAAGUGUAUUAUGUAAUUAUAUAUUCAUGUUAUGUUAUACUUAUAAUUCAUGUCUACAUAUCGUGUUUAAGAAAAUCAUGGGCUCAGAUGCCACCUAUUUUCAUGUUCAUGUUUUUAGGAGUUGCACAGAUUAUCGAGAAGGCUUAGAUAGCCUGAAACUACGCUUGCCAUGGUAGGAUAAGGAUCGCUCCGCGCGGUUAGGACAAUUUUUUCAUGUUUUAUUGAUUGGAUCCUUUCAUGUCAUGUUUAUGUCUCAUACCCCUGGCAAGAUAUGAGAACGCUCUGCUGGUCGGGCCAGGUACCAGACUCCACAUACCCACGUGGUGAUUCAUAUUAUUUAUCCGUUAUAUUAAUGCUCUCCCAACGAUAAAUGCGUUUACUCAUAUUAUAUACACACACAUACACGCGCACACACUCAUGUCAGAUGAUACUCGUGUUCAUGUUCAGCUUAUAGAUACAGUUUCAGUUCUAUUAUUUUCAUGUGUCAUGCUUAUUUCAUUCAGUUACUUUACAUAUAAGUACAAUUCUAAUGUACUGACGUCCCCUUUUAUUUUUCUGGGUGCCUACAUUUCACGAUGCAAAUUUACAGGACGACGGAUCAGCUCGUUAAGACUUUGCUCAUAUCAGCUAUUGGUGAGCCCCAUUCCAUUCGGGAUGUUAUCUUUAUUUAUUUCAUGUCAGUUAUGCAGUUAAGGUAUGUCGAGGGCUUUGUUCCAGUAAACAUUUUAGCAAUCAGACUCAUGUCAAAGGUUUCAUAGACUAGUCAGUUAUGUGAUGUUAGAUGUUUAGAGUCGUAUAGCUACGGUUGGCUCGGUAUUUGUCAUGUUUAUUCAGAGUAUUUCCGCAUUAUGUUUUAAACCAGUAUUUUCAUUACUAUUAUGAGAUUUCAUGAUUACUUAGAUCAUCCAUGUUUUAUAUUAUAUUCCGCAUUAGUUCAUACCCUAUGUUGAUUUAGCAAGCCAUGUGGUUCGCUCGGUCACAUGCAGCAAGGCAUUGAGCGCCAUGUUACGCCAGGUCAUGGUUCAGGGCGUGACGUAGUAGUUGCGAAAGUAUGUUAGGAUCUAGAAAACAAGUUGGAUAGGCUAUGGAUAAGGUGGAUCCAUGAUUAUUAUAUGAAGGAUGCUCAGGUUGCACAUAUGCCCAUACCAUAACAAGCUAGUUGGAUGGUACGGAAGAUACUAGAGGCAAGCGUAACUCUCCAACUGAUCCAAGGGGAUCCACCAGCUACCAAGAGUAGAAUUAACUUUAUGUAUUUGCAGCUGAUUGGAAAUCAUCCCAAAGUCCCUUGGAAACAUAAGAUGGUUUCAAAUGAGGCUAGACCAAAGCUAGAUUCACUCUAUGGGUGUAUCUCCAUGGACAUUUAAACACUAAAGAUAGACUAGCCAAGUGGGGUAUUCAUGUAAAUCCAGAUUGUGUUAUGUGUGGAAAUGCAAUGGAAACCAGUGAUCACUUAUUCUUAGAGUGUGUUUGUGCCAGAAGUUUAUGGCACAGACUAAUGCAGUGGUUGAACAUAUCAAUAGCCGUACCUUCAGGACAUUCUUAGAUGCAACAAUGGAUAUGACAAAGGUCCAAAGGGAAAACUACAGCAGCACAUAUUCUCAAAAUGGUUUUUACAGAAUAUAUUCAUGCUAUCUGGGCUGAAAGAAAUGCCAGAGUUUUUGAGCAACAUGGACGAGAUUCCAGCAGUAUAGCCAGAGAAAUAGCUUGUAGUACCAAUGUUCGAGCAUAAGUGAAACUCAUAAUAGUGUUUCAACAGUUAUCAUUUUAAUUGUCGUACUUAUGAUAACGUAAAUAGCUAAAGGGUGUUGAUGUAUAGGCGAUAUUUUUAUUAUAGAUCAGCAAGCUGGGGUGUAGCUAUGCUGUGGUACUUAAAGUUCAUACUUGGUGAUAAAUACAAGUGAUUAGUUACCCCCCC
Molecule: long non-coding RNA, 5961 nt
Organism: Lycium barbarum (goji berry)
Lineage: Eukaryota; Viridiplantae; Streptophyta; Magnoliopsida; Solanales; Solanaceae
Exons: 2
Source: RefSeq, a predicted model, not a curated record